AACUUUCUAGUAUUAAGUAGUACAAGUGACUUCCAAUCACACAGUCUUGGUUAAAAUCCAAGGAAAGAUA
This 70-nucleotide transfer RNA is filed under the name Talismania antillarum. RNAcentral's name for it is "tRNA-Gly". It matches the Rfam family "tRNA". From Rfam's summary of the family: Transfer RNA (tRNA) molecules are approximately 80 nucleotides in length. Their secondary structure includes four short double-helical elements and three loops (D, anti-codon, and T loops). Lineage: Eukaryota; Metazoa; Chordata; Actinopteri; Alepocephaliformes; Alepocephalidae. The record is from RNAcentral.